UAAGCCAUAAACAUUGAUAGCUCCUACACCAUGCUAUCCGCCAGAGAACUACUAGUGAAAACUUAAAACUCAAAGGACUUGGCGGUGUCCCAUAUCGACCUAGAGGAGCCUGUCCUAUAAUCGAUACUCCCCGUUCCACCCGACCUUCACUCGCACAUUCAGCCUAUAUACCGCCGUCGACAGUCUACCCCAUGAGGGCCUUUUAGUAGACACAAUAACUACGCUCGCUAGUACGUCAGGUCAAGGUGUAGCAAAUGUUAAGGAAGCGAUUGGCUACAUUUUUUAUUUUAAAACAAACGAAAUGCAACAUGAAACAUUGCACGAAGGCGAAUUUAGUAGUAAAUUGAACAAGAGAGUUCACUUUAACAUCGCUCUGGGACGCGC
Molecule: ribosomal RNA, 384 nt
Filed under: Acanthodactylus schmidti
Lineage: Eukaryota; Metazoa; Chordata; Lepidosauria; Squamata; Lacertidae
Description: partial 12S ribosomal RNA
Rfam family: Bacterial small subunit ribosomal RNA
Source: RNAcentral